AUUGAACGCUGGCGGCAUGCUUUACACAUGCAAGUCGAACGGCAGCGCGGGGCAUCCUGGCGGCGAGUGGCGAACGGGUGAGUAAUAUAUCGGAACGUACCCAGAAGUGGGGGAUAACGUAGCGAAAGUUACGCUAAUACCGCAUACGAUCUACGGAUGAAAGUAGGGGACCGCAAGGCCUUAUGCUUUUGGAGCGGCCGAUAUCUGAUUAGCUAGUUGGUGAGGUAAAGGCUCACCAAGGCGACGAUCAGUAGCUGGUCUGAGAGGACGACCAGCCACACUGGAACUGAGACACGGUCCAGACUCCUACGGGAGGCAGCAGUGGGGAAUUUUGGACAAUGGGCGCAAGCCUGAUCCAGCAAUGCCGCGUGAGUGAAGAAGGCCUUCGGGUUGUAAAGCUCUUUUGUCAGGGAAGAAACGGUAGAGGCUAAUAUCCUUUGCUAAUGACAGUACCUGAAGAAUAAGCACCGGCUAACUACGUG
This 482-nucleotide ribosomal RNA is filed under the name uncultured bacterium. RNAcentral's name for it is "partial 16S ribosomal RNA". It matches the Rfam family "Bacterial small subunit ribosomal RNA", at positions 30 to 507 of the family's 1533-position model. The record is from RNAcentral.